Molecule: ribosomal RNA, 496 nt
Filed under: uncultured bacterium
Lineage: Bacteria
Description: partial 16S ribosomal RNA
Rfam family: Bacterial small subunit ribosomal RNA
Source: RNAcentral
ACUCAAAUGAAUUGACGGGGGCCCGCACAAGCGGUGGAGUAUGUGGCUUAAUUCGAUGCAACGCGAAGAACCUUACCAGGCCUUGACAUGCAAUUGACCGCACCUGAAAGGGUGCUUUCCUUCGGGACAGUUGCACAGGUGCUGCAUGGCUGUCGUCAGCUCGUGUCGUGAGAUGUUGCGUUAAGUCGCGCAACGAGCGCAACCCCUGUCCUUAGUUGCCAUCAUUAAGUUGGGCACUCUAGGGAGACAAACCCUCUUUGAGGGUGGGAAGGUGGGGAUGACGUCAAGUCAGGAUGGCCCUUACGGCCUGGGCUGCACACGUACUACAAUGCUCGGUACAGAGGGACGCAAAGCCGCGAGGCGGAGCAAAUCCUCAAAACCGAGCCCAGUUCGGAUUGUAGUCUGCAACUCGACUACAUGAAGUUGGAAUCGCUAGUAAUGGCGCAUCAGCUACGGCGCCGUGAAUACGUUCCCGGGCCUUGCACACACCGCCCGU